GAGUUUGAUCCUGGCUCAGGACGAACGCUGGCGGCGUGCUUAACACAUGCAAGUCAAGGGGGGGUAGCAAUACUCAACCGGCGAACGGGUGCGUAACACGUGAGCGACCUACCUUUUUGUGGGGGAUAGCCGGCCCAACGGCCGGGUAAUACCGCAUACGCUCUCUUUGGGGCAUACUGGGGAGAGGAAACUUUCGAGGCAGAAAGAGGGGCUCGCGGCCUAUCAGCUAGUUGGCGGGGUAAUGGCCCACCAAGGCAGUGACGGGUAGCUGGUCUGAGAGGAUGGCCAGCCACAUUGGGACUGAGAGACGGCCCAGACUCCUACGGGAGGCAGCAGUGGGGAAUCUUGCGCAAUGGCCUAACGGCUGACGCAGCGACGCCGCGUGGGGGAGGAAGGGCUUCGGCUCGUAAACCCCUGUUGCCCGGGGCGAACAUCCUGUUUCGACAGGACUGACGGUACCGGGUGAGGAAGCACCGGCUAACUCCGUGCCAGCAGCCGCGUAAUAC
RNAcentral lists this ribosomal RNA (506 nucleotides) under uncultured bacterium. Its description in RNAcentral is "bacterial SSU rRNA". It matches the Rfam family "Bacterial small subunit ribosomal RNA", at positions 9 to 526 of the family's 1533-position model. The record is from RNAcentral.